CUUCGGCAUCCGAUAACAAUAGAUCCGGGAAUUACGAACCCCGUUUUUUAGGCAACGCCCCAAGGAGGGGCAGAUCAAGACACGGAGGACCAGGCGGGGCGGGAGGAAACCAAGAGGGACGUAUACAGACACGCUCCAAGACUCAUUGAAUUGUCCACAAGCGGGCGAGGAAACUUCUUUAUUAUGCCAGUCCUUUCAACCAUGGGAACUUCCUG
Bufo bufo (common toad) is the source of this 215-nucleotide long non-coding RNA. RefSeq lists it as uncharacterized. Lineage: Eukaryota; Metazoa; Chordata; Amphibia; Anura; Bufonidae. The transcript has 3 exons. The record is from RefSeq and is a predicted model, not a curated record.